RNAcentral lists this ribosomal RNA (497 nucleotides) under uncultured bacterium. RNAcentral describes it as "partial 16S ribosomal RNA". It matches the Rfam family "Bacterial small subunit ribosomal RNA", at positions 28 to 507 of the family's 1533-position model. The record is from RNAcentral.
GAUGAACGCUGGCGGCGUGCCUAAUACAUGCAAGUCGAGCGAACAGAUAAGGAGCUUGCUCCUUUGACGUUAGCGGCGGACGGGUGAGUAACACGUGGGUAACCUACCUAUAAGACUGGGAUAACUUCGGGAAACCGGAGCUAAUACCGGAUAACAUUUGGAACCGCAUGGUUCUAAAGUGAAAGAUGGUUUUGCUAUCACUUAUAGAUGGACCCGCGCCGUAUUAGCUAGUUGGUAAGGUAACGGCUUACCAAGGCAACGAUACGUAGCCGACCUGAGAGGGUGAUCGGCCACACUGGAACUGAGACACGGACCAGACUCCUACGGGAGGCAGCAGUAGGGAAUCUUCCGCAAUGGGCGAAAGCCUGACGGAGCAACGCCGCGUGAGUGAUGAAGGGUUUCGGCUCGUAAAACUCUGUUAUUAGGGAAGAACAAACGUGUAAGUAACUGUGCACGUCUUGACGGUACCUAAUCAGAAAGCCACGGCUAACUACGUG